This 1054-nucleotide long non-coding RNA is filed under the name Homo sapiens (human). RNAcentral describes it as "HSALNT0232590". Lineage: Eukaryota; Metazoa; Chordata; Mammalia; Primates; Hominidae. The record is from RNAcentral.
CCACCCCGCCCCCGCCGGCCCCACCCCUCCUCCUCGCGCGCCCGCCCGCCUCCAACUCCGGCAAACAAGACGCACCAUUCACAACUCCGCGGCCCACGCCGCGCAUGCGCCACCCGCCCGCUGGCGGAGCGGCCUGGCUGUGGCGCCCCGGGGCUCCUUCCGCAUCAGGGCCCUUUUCCCCCUGCUCGCCCGCGGCCACUCGGCGUGGAGCUGUCGUUGGGGGAUCCGCCUGGCCUUUAGCAGACGGGAGUAGCCAGCGCAGGCCUUUUCUACCGCCCUUCCUCGGUCAUCUGGAACUUCUGGGUUCCCCAGGUGCGCGGAGUAACCCCAGAUUGUCACUUGAACGCGAGGAAACCUAAGUCCUUGGGGACUUUUCGUCCCUAAACCGACCGGCAGGGGUGUAGGCUCUGCACGUUGAAGACUGAGGUGGAAACGGACCAAAGAAUCCAACCGAGUCAUGGUGGAAAGGUCGUGGCUUUUGGAGUCAGAUGGGUCUUAGAUGGGAUCCCACUCAGCUACACUACCUGCUGGCUGGGGCCUUAGAUAAGAAUUGGACCACUAAACCUCAGUUUCCUUAUUUCCAAAAUGCAGACACUCCUAGGUUUGCAGUGUUAGCGUGAGAACCUUUAUGUGGGUCUAGCACACAGUGGGAGCCCAAUAAAUUUAAGUUUCUAAAGAAGAACAAGCUGAGUUAAGAAUGUAACCGAUUGCCAGUCCAUAUACUUACUCAAUGUGCAAUCAGCUGCAAAAAAUAAGAUCCAUAAAUUCUAGGGAAGUUGUUUAGCCCAAACUGGAGAAAGUCUGACAUGGGAUUUAUGGCAGAGUUUGAUUCAAAGUUAGUCCUGUGGCCGGGCACUGUAGCUCAUACCCGUAAUCCCAGCCCUCUUUUUUUUUUUUUUUUUUUUUUUUUUUUAAACAGAGCCUCGCUCUGUCGCCCAGGCUGGAGUGCAAUGGCGCGAUCUCGGCUCACUGCAACCUCCGCCUCCUGGGUUCAAGUGAUUCUUCUGCCUCUGUCUCCCGAGUAUUUGGAAUUACAGGCACCCACCACCACGCC